GGGGCUGCAUUGGUUUCGACGUGGGUUGGAAUCGCAGCGGUGCAUGUCGAGCUCAGUGCGCUCGUAAAACUGACUGAACCAAAGUAACUGCAAACGACGAACGUUUCGCACUCGCCGCCUAAACACCGGUGAGCCUCGCAACAGCAGGCCGAUGGGCUGGGCAAGGGUGGCGCAAGCCGUCCAGGCUGCGAGGGCAUUCACAUCGGCUGGCCCGUCCCCGGGUGCCUUGGGGCCGAGCGAGAUUCAAGGGCACUGGCGGCUCCGGUAGCGUGCGUCUGCGCGACCGUAGCGGCGAGACUCAAAUCAGCACGCUAAACAUGUAGAUCUGCGCGAGGAAGGUUUGCGGACGCGGGUUCAAAUCCCGCCAGCUCCACCA
Molecule: transfer-messenger RNA, 376 nt
Filed under: Burkholderiales
Lineage: Bacteria; Pseudomonadati; Pseudomonadota; Betaproteobacteria
Also listed under: 1 other name
Description: Tibeticola sp013693755 Standard tmRNA
Rfam family: transfer-messenger RNA
About the family: Bacterial tmRNA, also known as 10Sa RNA or SsrA, is named for its dual tRNA and mRNA-like properties. Its role is to liberate the mRNA from a stalled ribosome.
Source: RNAcentral